UUUGGCUAGAACGCAAAUGUAAGACGGUCAAGGCUGCCCAAUCCCAGGAACACUAUUCAGCACGCCAGAGAUGACAUUCAGAGACCCAAGUUCUGGAAUUCACCCGAGAGUCUCUCAAGGUUGGCAAAACGCUCCAAGAAGCCACCAUCUUCUCUCACCUCUUAGGAUUAAAAACCAGUGGUGAUCAACUAGGGAUGAUUUUGACCCCAUCUCCACCCAGGGGACGACAGGUCACUGGUGUUCACUGUCACCGUUGCCUUGAUUUCUUGCUGGGCCACCUUCAUUCGGUCAUAGAAGACCUUGAAGAAUUUCUCCGA
Physeter macrocephalus (sperm whale) is the source of this 317-nucleotide long non-coding RNA. RefSeq lists it as uncharacterized. The record is from RefSeq and is a predicted model, not a curated record. Lineage: Eukaryota; Metazoa; Chordata; Mammalia; Artiodactyla; Physeteridae. The transcript is spliced from 3 exons.